UUUUUUUUUUUAAAUCUUGAUUUGGGUUUGUUAAUGAUCCCCCAAGUAUUCAGCUUGAUGACUUCAAAAACUUUUGAUGAGCUAAGAAGUGUUAUGAGCAAAGGAUUGCCAAUUUUUAUACGGGGAAUGAUCAUAAAUCAUUUGCAAGGCAAAUAUUUGUUGAAAAUUUAGUAUGUUUCUCAACAUGUUUGGAUGGAUUGUAUGAAGGUUUUUUAAAGUAAGGGAAAAUAAGGUUGUAGAAGUCAAAACCUCCCCAACCCAUCAAUUUGGUAGAUUGAAAAAGUGGGAGUUUAACUUUCUUAAAAUACCUGCAUUCCAAACAAACCUAUUACUUUAAAAAACCUUUAUCUUACCUUCAAAAACUUUCUCCCAAACAUAUUGUUAGUUUUGUGAAGCAUACGGUUGCUGAGGAUGUGUAAGAUUAGUCCCUUCAAAAAUGGUGUUAGACUUGUGAACAUGCUCUGUUAGGUGAUUUGAGCUUGACCUAAACUCUAGAUGUUGGAGUUUGCAGUGAUCUCAAGCUUGAUUUCACGACAUCCUAGAAUAAUAAAGCAUAAUCUGAUUGCAGCUGGCCGAGCUGGUUGGUUCUAGUAAUGCCAGGCAGUAAGUUAAUACAGUUGCAUACAUUUAACUGUGGCACAAAACCAGCUCUUGACUGAAGGAGUUUGAGAAGUGCAAGAUAGAUGGUGCCACAAAUUGCAAGUAUAACAUUUUUCCAUUAGCCCUGAAGGGUUGAAAUAAAAAAUUAAUCAGAUCAGGGUGUCUUGUAUUACAACAUUGGCACGCUGCUGCCCUAUUUCAGUGUUGUCCUUUCUCUGCAUAUGUUUCCUUUAUAUUCUUAUUUAUUUCUAGAUUUCAUUGUCAGUGUGAUAUUAGCAACAAAUGGUGCUUGGUUGUAAAUCAUUAGUGGCUUUGUUUUCUUGUUCCACUUUGUUUCUUUCUUUUCUUAUCCUUUUUUCUAUACCUUGGUUAUCUCGUUUAGUUAAUUUGUUCCACCUUCAUUUCUAACUUCUUCCUUCUUCUUCUAGUGUACCUGCAUUGAGAAGUUUUAAAGAGAAUCACUUGAAUGAAAAGUGUGCUUUGAUCAUUGUUUUACAUAGUUUCAUCUAAUAAAGAAUUAUUCUUUCAGUAAUCCAGUUCAGCUGGGG
This 1148-nucleotide unclassified non-coding RNA is filed under the name Hevea brasiliensis (rubber tree). The record is from RNAcentral. Lineage: Eukaryota; Viridiplantae; Streptophyta; Magnoliopsida; Malpighiales; Euphorbiaceae.